AACGAACGCUGGCGGCAUGCCUAACACAUGCAAGUCGAACGAGACCUUCGGGUCUAGUGGCGCACGGGUGCGUAACGCGUGGGAACCUGCCCUUAGGUUCGGAAUAACUCCCCGAAAGGGGUGCUAAUACCGGAUAAUGUCUUCGGACCAAAGAUUUAUCGCCUUUGGAUGGGCCCGCGUUGGAUUAGCUAGUUGGUAGGGUAAAAGCCUCCCAAGGCGACGAUCCAUAGCUGGUCUGAGAGGAUGAUCAGCCACACUGGGACUGAGACACGGCCCAGACUCCUACGGGAGGCAGCAGUGGGGAAUAUUGGACAAUGGGCGAAAGCCUGAUCCAGCAAUGCCGCGUGAGUGAUGAAGGCCUUAGGGUUGUAAAGCUCUUUUACCCGGGAUGAUAAUGACAGUACCGGGAGAAUAAGCUCCGGCUAACUCCGUG
Molecule: ribosomal RNA, 433 nt
Filed under: uncultured bacterium
Lineage: Bacteria
Description: partial 16S ribosomal RNA
Rfam family: Bacterial small subunit ribosomal RNA
Source: RNAcentral